UUGCUUUACAAACCAGUGGUCCCGAAGCAAAAGCCACAUUUCCAACUAGAUGCAUAUACAAAUGAUAACAGUGACCAUAAGCCUGUGUUCGGAAAUAAAACAACAAGCUGGAUUUGGCUGUAGAUUUGGAACUGGAUUUGGUACCUUGAGUCGAGGUAUUCGUGUUGGACGCCAAACACUCGGAGCCGUACUUCGAAGAAAUAAACACUAAUGCCGUGCAGCUUCGGGCUUCAUCUCCGCGGUAUGUUCUAGGGCGCUGACCACUCGCAUAUGCACCUCGCCGGACCGGCCUUGUUCUUGAGAAGAGCCUGGUGGUGGCCUGGCGCAUGGCAUUCACAGAUCGUUGCUCGCUGUGCUUUCUGGCAAGUACAGCGAUCUCUAUGCUCAAAACCUCACCUCACAGCAUUUACGCUUACUACCACCAAUCGAUGCUUAAUGAUAGUUUUCCCCCGUUACUAUCGUUUAGACUUCGGAGGUGUUCCAGGCGGACUUCGAUCCUGGGCUAUUGUUGCGACAGGAGGCUACCAAAACAGGUGUGUACUUCUCCUCCAAAGUGGUAUCCUCUUGGCUUCUUCCUCCACACAACUCCAGAAAUUUACCCAGAAAUUGUAUUUUCCUUUCUUAGCGUUCCUAUGCAUUACGCACCGACCCUCUCGCCACCCGCGCAUGCACUGCAGUCGAACUGUUUCCUCUGGCUGGGCUUCAUCUCAACCAGCAGCUAUGUCUGAAAUUGAACAUCACCUCAAAACGGACGAAGAAACAAUUAAAUGGCAAGCGCCGUCCACCAGCGUCUACAUCGAGCGGUG
Molecule: long non-coding RNA, 806 nt
Filed under: Drosophila guanche
Lineage: Eukaryota; Metazoa; Arthropoda; Insecta; Diptera; Drosophilidae
Source: RNAcentral